GACGAACGCUGGCGGCGUGCUUAACACAUGCAAGUCGAACGGAAAGGCCCUGCUUUUGUGGGGUGCUCGAGUGGCGAACGGGUGAGUAACACGUGAGUAACCUGCCCUUGACUUUGGGAUAACUUCAGGAAACUGGGGCUAAUACCGGAUAGGAGCUCCUGCUGCAUGGUGGGGGUUGGAAAGUUUCGGCGGUUGGGGAUGGACUCGCGGCUUAUCAGCUUGUUGGUGGGGUAGUGGCUUACCAAGGCUUUGACGGGUAGCCGGCCUGAGAGGGUGACCGGCCAAAUUGGGACUGAGAUACGGCCCAGACGCCUACGGGAGGCAGCAGUGGGGAAUAUUGCACAAUGGGCGGAAGCCUGAUGCAGAAACGCCGGGUGCGGGAUGACGGCCUUCGGGUUGUAAACCGCUUUCGCCUGUGACGAAGCGUGAGUGACGGUAAUGGGUAAAGAAGCACCGGCUAGCUACGU
RNAcentral lists this ribosomal RNA (467 nucleotides) under uncultured bacterium. RNAcentral's name for it is "partial 16S ribosomal RNA". It matches the Rfam family "Bacterial small subunit ribosomal RNA", at positions 28 to 506 of the family's 1533-position model. The record is from RNAcentral.